GAUGAACGCUGGCGGCGUGCCUAAUACAUGCAAGUCGAGCGAACGGACGAGAAGCUUGCUUCUCUGAUGUUAGCGGCGGACGGGUGAGUAACACGUGGAUAACCUACCUAUAAGACUGGGAUAACUUCGGGAAACCGGAGCUAAUACCGGAUAAUAUUUUGAACCGCAUGGUUCAAAAGUGAAAGACGGUCUUGCUGUCACUUAUAGAUGGAUCCGCGCUGCAUUAGCUAGUUGGUAAGGUAACGGCUUACCAAGGCAACGAUGCAUAGCCGACCUGAGAGGGUGAUCGGCCACACUGGAACUGAGACACGGUCCAGACUCCUACGGGAGGCAGCAGUAGGGAAUCUUCCGCAAUGGGCGAAAGCCUGACGGAGCAACGCCGCGUGAGUGAUGAAGGUCUUCGGAUCGUAAAACUCUGUUAUUAGGGAAGAACAUAUGUGUAAGUAACUGUGCACAUCUUGACGGUACCUAAUCAGAAAGCCACGGCUAACUACGUGCCAGCAGCCGCGGUAAUACGUAGGUGGCAAGCGUUAUCCGGAAUUAUUGGGCGUAAAGCGCGCGUAGGCGGUUUUUUAAGUCUGAUGUGAAAGCCCACGGCUCAACCGUGGAGGGUCAUUGGAAACUGGAAAACUUGAGUGCAGGAGAGGAAAGUGGAAUUCCAUGUGUAGCGGUGAAAUGCGCAGAGAUAUGGAGGAACACCAGUGGCGAAGGCGACUUUCUGGUCUGUAACUGACGCUGAUGUGCGAAAGCGUGGGGAUCAAACAGGAUUAGAUACCCUGGUAGUCCACGCCGUAAACGAUGAGUGCUAAGUGUUAGGGGGUUUCCGCCCCUUAGUGCUGCAGCUAACGCAUUAAGCACUCCGCCUGGGGAGUACGACCGCAAGGUUGAAACUCAAAGGAAUUGACGGGGACCCGCACAAGCGGUGGAGCAUGUGGUUUAAUUCGAAGCAACGCGAAGAACCUUACCAAAUCUUGACAUCCUUUGACAACUCUAGAGAUAGAGCUUUCCCCUUCGGGGGACAAAGUGACAGGUGGUGCAUGGUUGUCGUCAGCUCGUGUCGUGAGAUGUUGGGUUAAGUCCCGCAACGAGCGCAACCCUUAAGCUUAGUUGCCAUCAUUAAGUUGGGCACUCUAAGUUGACUGCCGGUGACAAACCGGAGGAAGGUGGGGAUGACGUCAAAUCAUCAUGCCCCUUAUGAUUUGGGCUACACACGUGCUACAAUGGACAAUACAAAGGGCAGCGAAACCGCGAGGUCAAGCAAAUCCCAUAAAGUUGUUCUCAGUUCGGAUUGUAGUCUGCAACUCGACUACAUGAAGCUGGAAUCGCUAGUAAUCGUAGAUCAGCAUGCUACGGUGAAUACGUUCCCGGGUCU
Molecule: ribosomal RNA, 1372 nt
Filed under: uncultured bacterium
Lineage: Bacteria
Description: bacterial SSU rRNA
Rfam family: Bacterial small subunit ribosomal RNA
Source: RNAcentral